Molecule: long non-coding RNA, 554 nt
Filed under: Medicago truncatula (barrel medic)
Lineage: Eukaryota; Viridiplantae; Streptophyta; Magnoliopsida; Fabales; Fabaceae
Description: long non-coding RNA (MTRU_LNC002558)
Source: RNAcentral
CUUGAUUGGAUGCAUAUAUCAGGCGCUGGUCCCAUACAAAAGAAAGAAUAAGGAUAUGCCGGCGCAAUUUACAGAGCUCUAGAACAUCAACCAUGAGCCCACCAGCUAUCGCCCUCUUGAUGCAGAAACUUCUGUAACAAGAUAUUCAACAUUACAAAAGUGAAACCAAGUAUUAAUGUGCAAUCACUUCUUAUCGAGCAAGGAAAAUCAACAAAAUUUAAAUGAAACGAAUUCAUUUAUCAAUUAAUCUGGUAAGUGGAGGACUAGAAAGAACAAGAAUGUAGUGGAAAAUUUUAAUCAUGUUCAUUUGGAAACUCUUUUUUUGGGAAGAAAAGGGGAAGAGGGGAGGCAUCAAGAGAGUAGUUGAAAGAAGAGGCAACGAAUCACAACAUCUCAAACCACCUACCUCAGAUUCUUCUUUCUCUUUCUGCAGAAUUUCUUUAAGUUCAACAAUCAAAUGCCUAAAAUCUGCCACUGCCUUUCCACCCUCCUGCAGCACAGAACCUGAAAACUUUUCUGAAAUUUGAUUUAGAGCGCUGCACACUUCACUGAAC